AAUAGAUACCCGGGUAGUCCACGCUGUAAACGAUGUCAACUAGCUGUUGGUUAUAUGAAAAUAAUUAGUGGCGCAGCAAACGCGAUAAGUUGACCGCCUGGGGAGUACGGUCGCAAGAUUAAAACUCAAAGGAAUUGACGGGGGGCCCGCACAAGCGGUGGAGCAUGUGGUUUAAUUCGAUGCAACGCGAAGAACCUUACCUACCCUUGGCAUACAGUGAAUUUUGCAGAGAUGCAUUAGUGCCUUCGGGAACACUGAUACAGGUGCUGCAUGGCUGUCGUCAGCUCGUGUCGUGAGAUGUUGGGUUAAGUCCCGUAACGAGCGCAACCCUUAUCCUUAGUUGCCAGCAUGUGAUGGUGGGGACUCUAAGGAGACUGCCGGUGACAAACCGGAGGAAGGCGGGGAUGGCGUCAAGUCAUCAUGGCCCUUACGGGUAGGGCUACACACGUGCUACAAUGGCCGAUACAGAGGGCGGCGAAGGGGCGACCUGGAGCAAAUCCUUAAAAGUCGGUCGUAGUCCGGA
Molecule: ribosomal RNA, 523 nt
Filed under: uncultured bacterium
Lineage: Bacteria
Description: bacterial SSU rRNA
Rfam family: Bacterial small subunit ribosomal RNA
Source: RNAcentral